GCCGCCUUAGCUCAGCUGGUAGAGCAUCUGUCUUGUAAACAGAAGGUCAUCGGUUCGAACCCGAUAGGCGGCUCCA
RNAcentral lists this transfer RNA (76 nucleotides) under Gulosibacter molinativorax. Its description in RNAcentral is "tRNA-Thr". It matches the Rfam family "tRNA". From Rfam's summary of the family: Transfer RNA (tRNA) molecules are approximately 80 nucleotides in length. Their secondary structure includes four short double-helical elements and three loops (D, anti-codon, and T loops). Further hydrogen bonds mediate the characteristic L-shaped molecular structure. tRNAs have two regions of fundamental functional importance: the anti-codon, which is responsible for specific mRNA codon recognition, and the 3' end, to which the tRNAs corresponding amino acid is attached (by aminoacyl-tRNA synthetases). tRNAs cope with the degeneracy of the genetic code in two manners: having more than one tRNA (with a specific anti-codon) for a particular amino acid; and 'wobble' base-pairing, i.e. permitting non-standard base-pairing at the 3rd anti-codon position. Lineage: Bacteria; Bacillati; Actinomycetota; Actinomycetes; Micrococcales; Microbacteriaceae. The record is from RNAcentral. RNAcentral also lists the same sequence under 3 other names.